Long non-coding RNA from Cryptotermes secundus, 2236 nucleotides. RefSeq lists it as uncharacterized. NCBI's taxonomy places the organism in Eukaryota, Metazoa, Arthropoda, Insecta, Blattodea, Kalotermitidae. The record is from RefSeq and is a predicted model, not a curated record. The transcript is spliced from 2 exons.
CAUGAACAUGAAGGGAUGUGUCUACUGUGAUAUGAGUGAUAUAACCUUGUGGCAAUCGAUGAGUUAACAUUUUCGUAGGAAUCUAUAUGUCGUGAGUUCCACAUUGUAUUCAGCAGAACUCUGACGACAUUCCAGAAAUGUCUCCGAUGGUGGAUAUUCACUUAAAGGAAUGUCUAAGUGAAUGUAGUUUCUACUGCAACUAUGAAUGAGGAAACCAAUUCUACACCUAUGUGAGCUAAUAAUUUUGUGUGUCUUCCAGUUGUAAAGAUCUUGUCAGUUCCAGUUCUUCAAUGAUUUAUUGAACUCUGCCCAACUUAUUUCUAGGACCAAAUAAUUACAGAAUUUUCAGAACUGAAAUGUGCAGUAGGUAUUUUAUAUUCUUCAUUAUAUAUGCCUAUAUGAAAAUGGACUUUCAUUAUACAUUUCAACAGAAAUAAAAUACUGGAAUAUUACAGAUUCUAAAUGGUUCUGAUGAUAGCAUAACACCUGAGAUUACUGGUUAAGGAACAUACCAUGACAACCAAACUUUGCUUCUAGUAGCCUGAGAUAUUCAGUAAGAGAAGCAGUAACACUCCUUUCAAUAACCCAAAAUCUUAAUUUAUCUUUUCUGUGUAGUGUGUAAUACCACCUGUUCAGUGUUAUUUAUAUCUCUGGAUUUUAGUUUUUGGGUGUGGUUUUGUCACAUUUGUUCGGGAUUAAAACAAUCCUGAAGAUGCAUAUAAAGAAUAUUAGAAUACUGCUCUAGUCAUCCCCAGAAAUAGUAGUAUAAAUUCCUGUUAUAGCGUCUUUUUCUCAGAAAAUACAACCCAUAAUACUUAAAUGAUGAAAAGUGAGUAACGAUUUUAUAAAUUUUAGCUGUCAGAACAUCAGUUAUUAUUUGAAGGCUGAUUAAGCAACUAUUCAUUAGUAUAUGUGAAUGGGUACUCAGCUGACAAUGGUUUUAUUUGAAUAAGCUUAGCAACCUAAAACUGUGAUGUUAAAAAUACAAAUACAUAAAUUUCAGACUUGAUAUUAUGUAACUAAGCAGUCUACAAAAAAAAAUGUCCGUCCAUUUUGAUAACAUUUAUUUGAAAACUGUCUAAUGGCCAUUUCUCUCUCUUAUGCCACAGAUAAAUGUGAUGCAUAGUAUACUUAUCUCUUUGCUACUUGAAUCCUGGAUUCAAAAUUAUAUUCUUGUGCUUUUCAUAUUCACAUUAAUGGGUAUAAAUUACAAAAUAUGUGCCUACCACCUCCAUACAUAAUUUAAAUUAUGUAUGACAGAACGUUUGAAGAUCAUCAUCAAUACUUUUCUGCUGUGAAACUACUGCUGCAUCAAAACACUGCUCAUCUCUAGAAGGCCAAGCUAAGAUGAUUCUUAUACACCACCGAUAACAUCAGCCUGUCAAAUAUGGCCCAUUACAGUGCUCUUCCCCCUCCUGUCCCUGUGCUUGCUUAAUUAAGGAUCAGGCCACGAUGAUAUAUAGGAAAGUGAAGGUAUAGUGCUACUGUUCUUGACCUCAGCACUAGAUGGAGGUGCAUCAAUAUGUACAUAUGUAUGUAGGUGUUGUCAAGCCAUAACUUUUAUACAAAGUGCAUACAGAAUUCCACAUCAAAGUAAUUGUGAAAUAUUACAAAUUCCUUUGAGAAAUUUUAACAGAUUUUUCUCAUUAAAGCUCAUUAUUAUUAUACCAUACUUCAUUACUUAUUCAACUAUGUUAACACAUCUGUAAGUAACUUAUCAAAAACAGUAUACUCCCAGUUAUAUGAGCUAAGAAGGGGGAAAGAUGCACAAAUAAGAAGAAAGAACACAGAUAACCCAAGUUUUGGGUAUGAUCAGGAGACUACAGCAACUGCUUUUAAUAUAUAAAUUAGAAAAUGUACAGAUAGAAUCUGAUUUGCAUAUUAUGUCAGAAAGCUCACAACAUACAGAGAAUGUGUUGAAUGUAAAAUAUGUGUUUCAUGUUUCCCUAAAACACUUGUGUGAAACAUUUUUCAUGCCAAUAAGUAUUUAGCGAGUUGCACUUGAUAUAAGCACAGAAAUGAAUAUAGGUCUUCAUGUAAAGUGGUUGUUAAAAUUGUCCAAUCUAAAUGAAAAUUUAAAUGAAUAAACAGUUUUUUAAAAAAUUCUUGAAUAUCAAAUUUCAUGAUAAUCCAUCCAUUUCACUGAAUUGAGCAAACUUAAUAGGCUCUCUGUAGGGUUGCAAAUGUACCUAAAAGGCAUAUGGGUAAGUCACAAACUGGAUAUUCAAAGGACUAU